UCAAACGUAUCGUUCCGUUUUCUUCGAUGCCCUCGGCAAUCCCAAACCCCACCUCCCACCGACGAUCCCCAAUUUCAGCCGCACGGUCGCCUGUCGCCGGAACGCCCCGAGCUCCCGUAGCGUCGUAGACCACAUACUCCUGAAUCCGAACGCACCGCCAGCGCGCGCCCAUGUCUCGCUCGGCUGUCCACCCGCGCGUCUCCUACCUCGGGGUCCGGCGAGCAGGGCCGGCAGCCAUGGAGAACUGCCACGAGAGGUGCCAAUCCAAGCUCUUCCACCUGAUGGCUCUUGGUUGUGUUG
This 300-nucleotide ribosomal RNA is filed under the name Triticum aestivum (bread wheat). Its description in RNAcentral is "partial small subunit ribosomal RNA". Lineage: Eukaryota; Viridiplantae; Streptophyta; Magnoliopsida; Poales; Poaceae. The record is from RNAcentral.